This 93-nucleotide transfer RNA is filed under the name Clostridium beijerinckii. RNAcentral's name for it is "tRNA-Ile(aat)". Lineage: Bacteria; Bacillati; Bacillota; Clostridia; Eubacteriales; Clostridiaceae. The record is from RNAcentral.
GCAGUAAUUGGCUUAAAGGAAGAUCCAGGCACUAAUGUUGCCUGAAAUCUAUUAUACAUAGGUUUUUUAGGAUCAUUAUUCAAACUAUUCCAC